CCUACGGGAGGCAGCAGUGAGGAAUAUUGGGCAAUGGGCGCAAGCCUGACCCAGCAACGCCGCGUGAAGGAAGAAGGCUUUCGGGUUGUUAACUUCUUUUCUCAGGGACGAAGCAAGUGACGGUACCUGAGGAAUAAGCCACGGCUGACUACGUGCCAGCAGCCGCGUUAGUACGUAGGUGGCAAGCGUUAUCCGGAUUUAGUGGGUGUAAAGGGCGUGUAGGCGGGGACGGAAGUCAGAUGUGAAAACCACGGGCUCAACCUGUGGCCUGCAUUUGAAACUGUGUUUCUUGAGUACUGGAGAGGUAUACGGAAUGCCUAGUGUAGCGGUGAAAUGCGUAGAUAUUAGGAGGAACACCAGUGGCGAAGGCGGUAUGCUGGACAGCAACUGACGCUGAGGCGCGAAAGCGUGGGGAGCAAACAGGAUUAGAUACCCUAGUAGUC
RNAcentral lists this ribosomal RNA (443 nucleotides) under uncultured bacterium. Its description in RNAcentral is "partial 16S ribosomal RNA". It matches the Rfam family "Bacterial small subunit ribosomal RNA", at positions 338 to 795 of the family's 1533-position model. The record is from RNAcentral.